UACAAGACUUCGGUCAAGUUGAACGGAUGACUUAGUGGCGGACGGGUGAGUAACGCGUGGGUAACCUGCCUUGUACAGGGGGAUAACAGUUGGAAACGACUGCUAAUACCGCAUAAGCGCACAGAGCUGCAUGGAACGGUGUGAAAAACUCCGGUGGUGUGAGAUGGACCCGCGUCUGAUUAGCUGGUUGGUGAGGUAACGGCCCACCAAGGCGACGAUCAGUAGCCGGCCUGAGAGGGUGAACGGCCACAUUGGGACUGAGACACGGACCAAACUCC
Molecule: ribosomal RNA, 278 nt
Filed under: uncultured Eubacteriales bacterium
Lineage: Bacteria; Bacillati; Bacillota; Clostridia; Eubacteriales
Description: uncultured Clostridiales bacterium partial 16S ribosomal RNA
Rfam family: Bacterial small subunit ribosomal RNA
Source: RNAcentral